GCGGGUAUAGUUUAAUGGCAGAAUCCCAUGCUUCCGACCUGGUGAUGAGGGUUCGAUUCCCUCUACCCGCUCCA
This 74-nucleotide transfer RNA is filed under the name Clostridiales bacterium. RNAcentral describes it as "tRNA-Gly". It matches the Rfam family "tRNA". Rfam says of the family: Transfer RNA (tRNA) molecules are approximately 80 nucleotides in length. Their secondary structure includes four short double-helical elements and three loops (D, anti-codon, and T loops). Lineage: Bacteria; Bacillati; Bacillota; Clostridia; Eubacteriales. The record is from RNAcentral. RNAcentral also lists the same sequence under 1 other name.